GCACAAGCGGUGGAGCAUGUGGUUCAAUUCGACGCAACGCGAAGAACCUUACCCAGGCUUGAACAGCCAGUGACCACUCCUGAAAAGGAGCUUCCGCAAGGACACUGGUAGAGGUGCUGCAUGGCUGUCGUCAGCUCGUGUCGUGAGAUGUUGGGUUAAGUCCCGCAACGAGCGCAACCCUUGUCUGCUGUUGCCAUCACGUUAUGGUGGGCACUCUGCAGAGACUGCCGGUGAUAAACCGGAGGAAGGUGGGGAUGACGUCAAGUCAGCAUGGCCUUUAUGUCUGGGGCUACACACGUGCUACAAUGGCAGAUACAAACCGUCGCGAGACCGCAAGGUGGAGCUAAUCGGAGAAAGUCUGUCUCAGUUCGGAUUGUCGGCUGCAACUCGCCGGCAUGAAGUUGGAAUCGCUAGUAAUCGCAGAUCAGCACGCUGCGGUGAAUACGUUCCCGGGC
Molecule: ribosomal RNA, 455 nt
Filed under: uncultured bacterium
Lineage: Bacteria
Description: bacterial SSU rRNA
Rfam family: Bacterial small subunit ribosomal RNA
Source: RNAcentral